RNAcentral lists this ribosomal RNA (271 nucleotides) under uncultured prokaryote. RNAcentral describes it as "partial 16S ribosomal RNA". It matches the Rfam family "Bacterial small subunit ribosomal RNA", at positions 524 to 794 of the family's 1533-position model. The record is from RNAcentral.
UACGGAGGAUCCGAGCGUUAUCCGGAUUUAUUGGGUUUAAAGGGUGCGCAGGCGGGGGAUUAAGUCGGCGGUGAAAUUUUGCAGCUCAACUGUAAAAGUGCCUUCGAAACUGGUUUCCUUGAGUGUAGAUGAAGUAGGCGGAAUUUGUGGUGUAGCGGUGAAAUGCAUAGAUAUCACGAGGAACUCCGAUUGCGCAGGCAGCUUACUAAACCAUAACUGACGCUCAGGCACGAAGGCGUGGGGAUCAAACAGGAUUAGAUACCCGUGUAGU